This 620-nucleotide ribosomal RNA is filed under the name Anabaena sp. 211. RNAcentral describes it as "bacterial SSU rRNA". It matches the Rfam family "Bacterial small subunit ribosomal RNA", at positions 34 to 698 of the family's 1533-position model. Lineage: Bacteria; Bacillati; Cyanobacteriota; Cyanophyceae; Nostocales; Nostocaceae. The record is from RNAcentral.
CAUUUCGGUUACUUAACACAUGCAAGUCGAACGGUCUCUUCGGAGAUAGUCGCGCGGACGGGUGAGUAACGCGUGAGAAUCUAGCUUCAGGUCGGGGACAACCACUGGAAACGGUGGCUAAUACCGGAUGUGCCGAAAGGUGAAAGAUUUAUUGCCUGAAGAUGAGCUCGCGUCUGAUUAGCUAGUUGGUGUGGUAAGAGCGCACCAAGGCGACGAUCAGUAGCUGGUCUGAGAGGAUGAUCAGCCACACUGGGACUGAGACACGGCCCAGACUCCUACGGGAGGCAGCAGUGGGGAAUUUUCCGCAAUGGGCGAAAGCCUGACGGAGCAAUACCGCGUGAGGGAGGAAGGCUCUUGGGUUGUAAACCUCUUUUCUCAGGGAAUAAAAAAAUGAAGGUACCUGAGGAAUAAGCAUCGGCUAACUCCGUGCCAGCAGCCGCGGUAAUACGGAGGAUGCAAGCGUUAUCCGGAAUGAUUGGGCGUAAAGCGUCCGCAGGUGGCACUGUAAGUCUGCUGUUAAAGAGCAAGGCUCAACCUUGUAAAGGCAGUGGAAACUACAGAGCUAGAGUACGUUCGGGGCAGAGGGAAUUCCUGGUGUAGCGGUGAAAUGCGUAGAAAUA